Molecule: long non-coding RNA, 1143 nt
Filed under: Brachypodium distachyon (stiff brome)
Lineage: Eukaryota; Viridiplantae; Streptophyta; Magnoliopsida; Poales; Poaceae
Description: long non-coding RNA (BDIS_LNC006042)
Source: RNAcentral
AAACCUUGUUCUCCCUUUUAUGCGUAAGUUGUGACGGAUCUGAAAGAUUUUAGUCAUCCAAAUGGCCAAAUCUGACGUUUCACGUUAAUGAUGUAACAAUCAAUUAGUAGCAUCCAGUUAACUACAAUCAAUCCCAUCAAUUUAGUAAUUUAUCUCACAAAUAAUUUUCAUGCAUUAGCACGUUCAUCGUACAUAGUUACGAUGUAAAAGUAGUAGCCAAUAAACAAUAUAUGAUUACAUUGUUUUUACAAACCAGUGAGUAAAUAGCCAUCUUGUGAAAGAUUCAUUCACUCGGCUAUCCCCAUCUUCUCCAACAAAGAGGGAUGCACAGGUGGAAAAUCUUUGUAAGGGUCCACGAACCCAUUCAUCCUGAUAAAAAAAUUCAUCUUCAACAAGGAGAGACCGGGCAACAGUAAUCUCCACCUCGGAGCCACUGACGACACACGUGUGUUGACUUGUGUUGCAUGCUUGAGGUUCCAUGAAGAACCUUGCACGGCAAUUUCGCCGGACCUUGUGUAUGUUAGAGUGAUCUCCACCGUGUGGGCCCAACGGCCAACCGGGUCCAGAUCUGACGCGUCCUGAUCGGGGGCACCCAACCCAAUAUGGUUGGCGGGCUCCUGUCGCACUGCGCUAUAUAAAGAGGUGGGGGGUCGGGACACGCACUACGAGAUUCGUCUGCGUUGCCACCAACCCCACCGAACACACCCUACCGAUCUAGGGCUUUGCGUAGAGGCGAUGGGAACCACAACCACCGCCGUCGCCACCUAGCCCACGCCACCGCUCGUCUCUGCCAUAGCCCUGGCCGCACCGUCGGGAUCUUUUAGCCAAGGCGAAGGUGCAUAUUCCUCUCUCGAUCUCUCUCCCUUUAUCCCAUACCCGAACCGAAUCCAUUCACAGAAAUAGCAAUCUACCGGAAGUUCUACAUCUAGAUGAUCCUAUAGUAUUAACAUUGGUAUCAAAGCCAUCUAGUUUGGUAGAUCCGUUCGGUAGAAAGAGAAAGAAAGAAAAAGAAAAGAAAGAAAGAAAAAAGAAAAGCAAACCCUAACAGAGGCUUACCUGAAAAGAAGGCGCCGCCGGUCGCGCCGACGGAUCCCACUGCUCGGCCGCCGGUCGUCGGGAAAGGGCGCCGCCGCCGGUCACUUG